CCUACGGGAGGCAGCAGUGAGGAAUAUUGGUCAAUGGCCGAGAGGCUGAACCAGCCAAGUCGCGUGAGGGAAGACGGCCCUACGGGUUGUAAACCUCUUUUGUCGGGGAGCAAAGCGAGUCACGUGUGACUCAUUGAGAGUACCCGAAGAAAAAGCAUCGGCUAACUCCGUGCCAGCAGCCGCGGUAAUACGGAGGAUGCGAGCGUUAUCCGGAUUUAUUGGGUUUAAAGGGUGCGUAGGCGGAAUGCCAAGUCAGCGGUAAAAUCGCGGGGCUCAACCUCGCUCCGCCGUUGAAACUGGCGUUCUUGAGUGGGCGAGAAGUAUGCGGAAUGCGUGGUGUAGCGGUGAAAUGCAUAGAUAUCACGCAGAACUCCGAUUGCGAAGGCAGCAUACCGGCGCCCAACUGACGCUGAAGCACGAAAGCGUGGGUAUCGAACAGGAUUAGAUACCCCUGUAGUC
Molecule: ribosomal RNA, 459 nt
Filed under: uncultured bacterium
Lineage: Bacteria
Description: partial 16S ribosomal RNA
Rfam family: Bacterial small subunit ribosomal RNA
Source: RNAcentral